RNAcentral lists this long non-coding RNA (420 nucleotides) under Mytilus galloprovincialis (Mediterranean mussel). The record is from RNAcentral. Lineage: Eukaryota; Metazoa; Mollusca; Bivalvia; Mytilida; Mytilidae.
CAACAACGGGUUGUCCGAUUCAUCUGAAAAUUUUAGGGCAGAUAGAUUUUGACCUGAUAAACAAUUUUACCCCUGUCAGAUUUGCUCUAAAUGCUUUGGUUUUUGAGUUAUAAGCCAAAAACUGCAUUUUACCCCUAUGUUCUAUUUUUAGCCAUGGCGGCCAUCUUGGUUGGAUGGUCAGGUCACCGGACAUAUUUUUUAAACUAGAUACCCCAAAGAUGAUUGUAGCCAAGUUUGGAUUUAUUUGGCCCAGUAGUUUCAGAGAAGAUUUUUGUAAAAGAUUACUAAGAUUUACGAAAAAUGGUUAAAAAUUGACUAUAAAGGGCAAUAACUCCUAAAGGGGUCAACUGACCAUUUCGGUCAUGUUCACUUAUUUGUAGAUCUAACUUUGCUGAACAUUAUUGCUGUAAACAGUUUAUC